Artibeus jamaicensis (Jamaican fruit-eating bat) is the source of this 103-nucleotide small nuclear RNA. The record is from RefSeq and is a predicted model, not a curated record. Lineage: Eukaryota; Metazoa; Chordata; Mammalia; Chiroptera; Phyllostomidae.
UUGCUUUGGCGGCACAUAUACUCAAACUGGAACAAUACAGAGAACACUGACAUGGCCCCCGCACAAGGAUGACACACAAACCUGAGAAGUGUUCUAUAUUUUA